GACGAACGCUGGCGGCGUGCUUAACACAUGCAAGUCGAACGGAAAGGCCCUGCUUUUGUGGGGUGCUCGAGUGGCGAACGGGUGAGUAACACGUGAGUAACCUGCCCUUGACUUUGGGAUAACUUCAGGAAACUGGGGCUAAUACCGGAUAGGAGCUCCUGCUGCAUGGUGGGGGUUGGAAAGUUUCGGCGGUUGGGGAUGGACUGGCGGCUUAUCAGCUUGUUGGUGUGGUAGUGGCAUACCAAGGCUUUGACGGGUAGCCGGCCUGAGAGGGUUACCGGCCACAUUGGGACUGAGAUACGGAGCAGAAUCGUACGGGAGGCAGCAGUGGGGAAUAUUGCACAAUGGGGGGAAGCCUGAUGCAGAAACGCCGCGUGCGGGAUGACGGGCUUCGGGUUGUAAACCGAUUUCGACUGUGACGAAGCGUGAGUGACGGUAAUGGGUAAAGAAGCAACGGCUAACUACGUG
This 468-nucleotide ribosomal RNA is filed under the name uncultured bacterium. RNAcentral describes it as "partial 16S ribosomal RNA". It matches the Rfam family "Bacterial small subunit ribosomal RNA", at positions 28 to 507 of the family's 1533-position model. The record is from RNAcentral.